This is a long non-coding RNA of Gadus chalcogrammus (walleye pollock), 4973 nucleotides long. RefSeq lists it as uncharacterized. The record is from RefSeq and is a predicted model, not a curated record. Lineage: Eukaryota; Metazoa; Chordata; Actinopteri; Gadiformes; Gadidae. The transcript is spliced from 3 exons.
GGCCUAGGGUAUUCGGUUACCUAGUAAGGCGACCUUGAGUGAACUAAAGGGCACUAAACAAAUACAAUGUGUUAUUACAUUAGCAGUGAGAUGCUCUCUGAUUGUGCUUUUUCUCAAGCACUCCUUGCCGGCUAGACUGUUAUCAGCCAGGAAAGUUGGAGUGUAUAAAAACAGCGAGACAGGUCGGUGCCCGGCCACACCGCUACAGAGAAAACCAGUGCAACACCAUGACGUGGACAGCAGGGAAGUGGACGCUCUUUGUGGGCCUGAUGUCCAUCUUACUGGGCAGCCUGGAGCGAGCGGAAACCGCUGCAGUUAUCACCUCGUCCGGCAAUCGUACCGACAACGUAACUGCAGCAACAAAGUCUCCCAAAACGACCCAGGCCAGUAGAAAUGUGACCAGCGCCACGACGACCAGCGAAACAGCUGCAGUUAUCACCUCGUCCGGCAAUCAUACCGGCAACACAACUGCAGCAACAAAGUCUCCCAAAACCACCCAGGCCAGUAGAAUUGUGACCAGCGCCACGAGACCAGAGUCUCCCGGGAUCACCAAUGCCACAACAAAGGGUACCAGUACCCGCCCCCCCAAUCCACCCCCCACGAUCAAAACCGGCAGAUGUUGCACAAAGACCAAACCACCCAGCGGCUCGACGUCCUCGUUGGGGUCACAUGACCAACUGCUGCCGCUGGUCGUUUCCAUGGUGAUCGGACUGAUGGCGAACUGAUUGUUCGAAGCUUCUGAGGGUCCUUUGUUUCAUCGCGAGUAAUUAUUUGCUGAAGCCCACUUGAGGCCCGAGGAUGACGGCCGUCGGCCAUACUGCCAAAUCCAAAGGUAUACACGGUACGAACCACCGCCCGAAUGAAGAAUAGGAUUCUUAUUAUAACGCAUUCAAAUAAAGAACCACAAAUCCCUUUAAUCUGUGUUUGAUUGGCCUCUUUGUAAACUUGUAGGAGUCACCGUCAUCAUCAUCAUCAUCAUCAUCAUCAUCAUCAUCAUCAUCAUCAUCAUCAUCAUGCCCAUAGUCAAGAAAGCUUAACUGAAUCGACAUUCCUACAUCCAUACUAUAACAGGAAGCAUUGACUGUACCGUGUAAAAAGAUAAUGUAAUUGGAAGAACUACAUGUAAUAAUAUUGUCAUUACCAAACGUACAUUAGGUCAACAGUCGUUUUGGUUCUUGCGCUUGAUUGUCAAUUCUUUGUUUUCAAUCUCAUCUCAUCCAACGUCUAGCAUAUGGUGAGCAGCUGUUGUACUCAACACAUUGACCAAGCAGGGCGAUCCCUGUCAGAAAUAUGGCAAUAACUUAGUUUAGGUAAAUUUUACACCGUAUUUGCAUUUCAUUUGUUUUCACGCACAAGCCGGAAAGUUGUAAAAACUUUGAUUUGAGUAUGGCUACCAUUAACAUGGAGUAUAUGCUCGGGUUAGGGUUAGGUGGACGUAAGUCAUAAACAGUGGUAGAUUGACAGGUAGAUUCAACAUUACACAUGAUAUCUUCGGUUCAUGUAAAUCUAAAGUGGUUGUGCUCAUGGGAUUAAACUAAGGAACAAAAGGUAUCCUAUAAUCAGUAAAGUUAUGUCAGUAAAUAUAAGUGCGUUGUGUGGCAAUUGACUUGCCUCUGAAAUAAAUGAUAAGACAAUGAGGCUACCAUAAAAUAAAAUAUACUGAGACUACUGAGACAUACAUCCUGACAAGCACAGACAGAUAGAUACACACACAAAAAAUAUAACAAGAUGAAUAGAUAGUAUUUUCGUCAAAAUAUUUGACACAAACGAUGAAUCCAUAAAUCGUCCUCAUUGCUCUUCCAUGACGAGAGUGGGAUGCUCUGAUUGGUUGUCUGGGUCACUUUGCAUCACGGGGUGGGGAUAGAUCCUGGACCACCUGUGUUCGUCAUAUUGGGAGUCGAAAGGCUAUAAAAGCCCUCAGCAAACAGAUAAGAAACACAAUAGUUUCAAACUGCCCAGCUUCACAUGCACACGCGCACAUGAACACAAAUCCUGUGACCACUGGUACCCAAAGGCGGAGAAGCACCUGAACGCUGAGGAUAAAUCAGGGGAAGGAGAUUCCACUAUUUCAUUUUCAUCUUCUUCAUCAUCAUCAUCAUAUUCAUCACCUUCAGAGCCAUGUUCCUGUCAUUUUGGCUAUGCUCAUUGGCUCUUCUGGCGCAGUCUUUGUCAUCAGUAUCCUCAGAAGCAACUACACAGAGCGACAACAUGACCACCGCCGUGUCCUCCAAAACUACUCCAACGACAACUCAUGCUACCGAAACGGCUGGGGCUAACCUAACGGCUGGGGCUAACCAAACGGCUGGGGCUACCGAAACGGCUGGGGCUAACCAAACAGCUGGGGCUAACCAAACGGCUGGGCCAACCCAAAUGACUUCUGCGGCAACCCAAAUGACAUCUGCAGUUGCCCUUACCACGUUUGGGGCGAGCAGAACGACGACUGGGGCGAGCAGAACGACGACAGUAGCAGCCAAUCCAGGCCCUGUGGCCACCGGAAUGACGACAACUAACGGACACAGCCGCCUCAUCGGCUCGCUGAUCCUGUUCCUGGGUUCAGUUUCUUUGGCAGUGAUUGACCACUAGAGAUCGCUGUUUCUUCAUCCGCUUUGGCAGCACGUCUUUAUUGCCUUUUGUAGCCAAUGAAAAGUGUCGGACCACUACGACUCUUGAGGAUUAAGGGGGUAAAAAAGAAAAAUCGAAGAACAAACUCAUGAUUAGGGUAUGUUGUACAGUUUACGGUACUAAAGCUGACCAAAGGGAAUGCAAAUUAAGAUGAGCAUAUGUAUACUCGACUAUUUAAACUUGGCCACUUAGUGCUUUCCUAUUGAAUGAAUUAAGCUGUUAAAUUCCACCUCUUUACUAAGCUUUAGUGUGUGUUACCUGUAGUGUAUAGAAAAUAAAGUGUAACAUGUUGGAUGGAAAAUAAAUUAUUUGAGGAAAUAGAUUUCAAAACAUGGUUUUGUAUGAUUGGGAGUAGUUUAAUUCGAUGUGGAUAUCAUUAUUUUAUGAAAGCCCUUCAGACUGACAAUAAGAACCGCCAAAGAAAACGCCCAGGCAAAACUAAUGAUUCGAUUUUAGUUGAGGAAAUAUAAAAAAAUAUGGAGACUUCACAGUUCAUGCAAAUCUAUCAAAAGGAGAAAUUGUGCAAAUCUGGCUCCGAAACGAUAUUACUAUAUCGAAGAGUUCUGAAAGGUCUCAUACAACAUAAAGCUCCUCAAUACAAACAGAGGAGCUUUUUGCCUAAUGCAGAAUGCAUAAGGCAUUCUGCCUAAUGCAACAAACAAUGUAAUCGUCAUCAUUCAGUGAGGUGCGGUGCGCAUGACUUCACUCUGACAUCACGAGGGCAUGGGAUGAUUGUGUGUGGAAGCUGAUGCGAAGAAAGGUAAGAAGUCGGGUUCACGUGCAGAAGAGGUCGGGAACUCGUGCUGUGAACUUAUCUCACAGACACGUUAUCAUGGAGGGAUUAUUCGUUGACCAACAUAAAGCAAUGUGCUGGUUAGCUUGUUAGUCAGUUUCUCUUAUUUCUGGUGUUUGCUGGUAUUCCUCCUUGGUAUUUGAGAUCCUCAGGAUUAUGAAGGCAGGCGUCCUGUUGCCUCUUUAUCUGAUACAGUGGUCAACACCACCACCGGAGGGGGGGGGGGGGGGGGGUGCUUGGCACCUGUCGGCCCAAGGGAUAAUGUGGUGCCUCUCAUACAGAUAAAUAACAUGACACAAUGAGGUUAACAUGAACCUAAAUAAAUACCUGCCUCUUCGACCAUGAAUUUAAACUUGUUUCAAGACAUAAUGGAAAGGUGGAAUUGUGAGACAUUUUGAAUAAUUUCUGGUAUAAAAUAAAAAUGUGCUGAACCUGUAUGGUAAUUAUUGAUUCCCUGAUUACUCUUUGACUGAAAACAACUGCAAGUGUAUCUCUUACAACAAUGUAACCUUGUAGUUCUUAUUAUUUGCAUUGUUUUAAUUUUUUUCAAAGGAGACACUCCAAACAGGGUCGCGGGUCAACGGUUUUAACUGGUUCACCUCUCGUGUUAAAAAGGUAAAACAAAAGACAACAUAAACUCUUCCUCUUAUGGGGUAAAAAGGGGCCUUCUCUCCUCUCGUUUUCUACAUUUCUUUUUAGUACCAGUAUGUUCGGGUUCCUGUAUGGCUACAGUACUGACUUUGAGAUGUGAUAUGGUUACGUUGCUGUGUUUCAACAGGUUUCUUGAAAUGGGGACAUUACUCUUUGUAGUAGGGGAAGACUGUAAUAAAAAAAGACAGUUUAAUUUUGAGUUGCAUUGUACUGUUGGGAUUGAUUCCGGCCCAACUUUUGUUUUGGGGGGACAGUUGAGUGGGGUGAGCAUUUCGCCGAGCACAUGAGGUACUGUGUUGCCGUGUUGGUCUUAAUUAAAGAAGAGAAUAACACCGGCAACGGUAUUCAUUAUAUAGUGUAACCCCCACGUUCCCACAGUCCCGGAGUGACCGGGGGAAGCUACCUGAGCAGACAUAAGGGUUAUAAACUACAACGGGCGCUCCCGAACCUCACAACAGACAGACAUCAGCGCGGCGCUGCCCAGAAUACUGCCUCUAUGCUGCUGAUCUGUCCAGCUGAUCUAAUUGUCAUUAUGUUCUAGGAUGUUCUAGGAAAAAUAAUGAUUAUUAUUUAAAUUAAUCCCUUUUGGAUAGAAAAUGGAUGUGAAAAAGCUUUGGGUUAUUAAGAAAACUAUGAGAAAAAAUGUAACAACAUAACAAAAACAACAUGAAAAUGUACAAUAAAUGUUUGAGUUGACAGCAUAUUUACGUGUUAAAGGCCAAUAUAAUUGAUAGCUCUAUAAUAAUACCAAUUAUUAAUGUUUCUUCUAUGAGCUAUUUUCUGUACUCGGUCCAAAAGGUAUUGUCUUUUUUAGAAAAAACAUUGUUGGAAGUUACUUUGCGAAUUGAGAUUUCAACAUGUCAAAUGCCAAAAAACAUGUUAAAGAUAGGCCUACGUUUGUCAAGUU